CUGACGGAGCAACGCCGCGUGAGGGAUGAAGGCCUCUGGGCUGUAAACCUCUUUUCUCAAGGAAGAAGAACUGACGGUACUUGAGGAAUAAGCCACGGCUAAUUCCGUGCCAGCAGCCGCGGUAAUACGGGAGUGGCAAACGUUAUCCGGAAUUAUUGGGCGUAAAGCGUCCGCAGGCGGCCUCGUAAGUCUGUCGUUAAAGCGUGGAGCUUAACUCCAUUUCAGCGAUGGAAACUGUGAGGCUUGAGUGUGGUAGGGGCAGAGGGAAUUCCCGGUGUAGCGGUGAAAUGCGUAGAUAUCGGGAAGAACACCAGUGGCGAAGGCGCUCUGCUGGGCCAUAACUGACGCUCAUGGACGAAAGCCAGGGGAGCGAAAGGGAUUAGAUACCCCUGUAGUCCUGGCCGUAAACGAUGAACACUAGGUGUCGGGGGAAUCGACCCCCUCGGUGUCGUAGCCAACGCGUUAAGUGUUCCGCCUGGGGAGUACGCACGCAAGUGUGAAACUCAAAGGAAUUGACGGGGGCCCGCACAAGCGGUGGAGUAUGUGGUUUAAUUCGAUGCAACGCGAAGAACCUUACCAGGGUUUGACAUCCUGCGAAUCCCUGAGAAAUCGGGGAGUGCCUUCGGGAGCGCAGAGACAGGUGGUGCAUGGCUGUCGUCAGCUCGUGUCGUGAGAUGUUGGGUUAAGUCCCGCAACGAGCGCAACCCACGUCUUUAGUUGCCAGCAUUUAGUUGGGCACUCUAGAGAGACCGCCGGUGAUAAACCGGAGGAAGGUGUGGAUGACGUCAAGUCAUCAUGCCCCUUACAUCCUGGGCUACACACGUACUACAAUGCUACGGACAAAGGGCAGCAAACUCGCGGGAGCUAGCAAAUCCCAUAAACCGUGGCUCAGUUCAGAUCGUAGGCUGCAACUCGCCUACGUGAAGGCGGAAUCGCUAGUAAUCGCACGUCAGCAUACUGCGGUGAAUACGUUCCCG
RNAcentral lists this ribosomal RNA (977 nucleotides) under uncultured cyanobacterium. RNAcentral's name for it is "bacterial SSU rRNA". It matches the Rfam family "Bacterial small subunit ribosomal RNA", at positions 383 to 1376 of the family's 1533-position model. The record is from RNAcentral. Lineage: Bacteria; Bacillati; Cyanobacteriota.